ACGAGGAGGACGACGAGGAGGACGACGAGGAGGAGAGGGGCCACGAGGACGAUGAGGAGGAGGACGCCGACGACGAAGAAGAUUCAGGAGCAGCACAGGCUUUAGCGGAUGAAGGGGAUAUAGACGACUGGUUCAGCGGAAGCGGGUUGGCCUCUGGCUCUGUAUUUUCCCCUUAAAGAGACUUUGAGAUGCCCCCUCUCCCCCGCGCCCCCGCCCUCCCGUUCCACCCACCGAUUUCCAGGACACGCCACCCGCCCCGUUCUCUAGGAAGGGGAGGGCCGUCUGUGGGGAGCGGAGGAGACGCGCCCCCCCCCCCCCUUUCCUCCCCGACAAAGCCCCCUCACCCCCGAGGCCGGGACUCUCCACGGAACGAGUCGUCCUCCCCGUCUUCUCCCCCGGUUGGGCUGGUGGAGAGGAGGCGGGCGGGGAGACCAGUUCCCGGCCCCUCUCGGCAAAACCCGUUCACCCAAUAAAGAUGUUUGGAACCCGA
This is a long non-coding RNA of Ornithorhynchus anatinus (platypus), 490 nucleotides long. RefSeq lists it as uncharacterized. Lineage: Eukaryota; Metazoa; Chordata; Mammalia; Monotremata; Ornithorhynchidae. The transcript is spliced from 2 exons. The record is from RefSeq and is a predicted model, not a curated record.